Salvia splendens (bonfire salvia) is the source of this 1805-nucleotide long non-coding RNA. RefSeq lists it as uncharacterized. NCBI's taxonomy places the organism in Eukaryota, Viridiplantae, Streptophyta, Magnoliopsida, Lamiales, Lamiaceae. The transcript is spliced from 5 exons. The record is from RefSeq and is a predicted model, not a curated record.
ACAUCUAUGCGGCACGGAUACGGAUACGCGUAUCAGUAUCCGAAGGAUACGGAUACGCGGAUACGGCUCUUUCCCAAACAACCCGAUACGCGGAUACGUUUUAACUAUUUUUUUAAUAAAUAAUAAUAGUGCAUAAUAAAUUACAAAAUAGAUAUUCUAAUGUUAUUAUACAAAUAAAAAUAAUAAAAUUACAAAAUAUUAAAAGCUAAAGUCAAUUUCUUUUAUGGUCGAUUACACCACAUCGAUUUUUUGGUUAUACUUAUCCAUAUUACCAAUAAUAUUGAUCAAAAUAUUUAUUUAUAGUUACAAAAUUAGACAAAGUUAACGGAGUAAUAAAUUGGCCCAAAAAAUGAGCCCCAAAUAUACUCCUUUUCCAUCGUGACUACUUCUUGCCCAAUUCAUUCUCCCAUUUCCAAUUUUCUUCAAUCCCUAGUUGAGGCAAUAGCGGCGCCUCCCCUUUCUUCUUCUUCUUCUUCUUCUUCUUCUUCUUCUUCUUCAUAUCCGAUUAACUGUCAAUUUUGUUCCCAAAUCGGAUUGAAGUUCGUAAAUUGAAAGUUGCGAAGUUCUUCGACAGAGAUGGACGUUGAUUUCGAAGAGGAGAACCUCAGAUCUUUGCAGAUAGAGGAGGAUGAAGGCCCAAUACGGCCCAGCUCGCGGAUACGCCGAAGGAUACGUAUCGAAUCUGAGGUUUCCCGGCCCAAUACGGCCCAGCUCGCGGAUACGCCCAGGAUACGUAUCGACGGUGUAUCCGUCGCGUAUCGGUAUCGGAUACGUAUCCGAUACGUGAUACGGCAACAGGGUGGCGUAUCGGUGUUAUAUAGGCUGACAUCCCCAACAUAACCCGGAGAGGAUCUUCGACCUAUUUGCUGAAGAUCUAUUCGAGAAAUCAAAUGUUAGAGCAGGCUGUGGAGAUUUUCGAGAAAAUCGAGGACAGUCGUAAAAUAGUUUGACGAAUGCGUUUGUAGCUUUAAUUGAACUGAGUUUUAGGGGAAUAUUAGGAUUAUGAGUGUAUCUCCGAAUUCAGAAACUUUAAAUAUAGUAUUGCUUAAAAUCGCUUGUAGAGAGAGGGAAUUCGGCAAGGCGAGAGGCUGAUUGAUGUUGGCUUAUCCAAUUUUCUUAUUUGUUUUGCUUUUUAAGCAAUGGUAUCACUUGUUUUUUUCCCCUCUAAUCUACUGUGCUUCCUUGUGUUUGACUGUUUUCAGACACUGUUGAUGCAGGGUUAGAUAAUUUCCCCAAAGGGGAGAGCACAAAUUAUGUUGACUCCAGACAGCAUCAACAAUAACAUCUCUUCGGUGAGCACAAGUUUUGUAUCACGGAACUUGAGAUUGAUGCAACAGCAAGUUCAGCCUGAUAUAUCAGCCCCAAAUUAUAAUGUUUAAUUUGGAGUUAUGACUCAUGCUACAUUUCGAAAUUCAAUACACAGCAUCAACAUGGCUUCAGUGAUCAUAAUUUUUGUAUCACGGAACUUUAUAUUGAUGCAACGGGAAGUUCAAAGUGAUGUAUCGGCCCCAACAUUAUUUGGAGUUAUAACUCAUGCUACAUUCAUGAAGAUUUGAGUGAUCAAUCCCGCCAAAAUAACUCCAAGAAACGCUACUUUCCCCCAGUCAGGCGAUGAAGAUACUGAGGCAUCAGCAAUUCCAAUAACUACCAACCCCAUCAGAGCAAGUUCAGUUCACAAGGGAAGAAUAAAAAUACCCUAGCACCAGCUUCAUCCAAUUCUUUGAGGGCAUUUUCUCCAAUCAGGUCGAUUUCGGCAUUGGCUUCCUCAGCAAACUGGGUUAGAUAUUCCGAUCUUUCGUCCAAGA